This 106-nucleotide small nucleolar RNA is filed under the name Olea europaea subsp. europaea. Its description in RNAcentral is "Plant small nucleolar RNA R71". It matches the Rfam family "Plant small nucleolar RNA R71". From Rfam's summary of the family: R71 is a member of the C/D box family of snoRNAs containing the C (UGAUGA) and D (CUGA) box motifs. Multiple nearly identical copies of this snoRNA have been identified in Arabidopsis, and it is thought to function as a 2'-O-ribose methylation guide for 18S ribosomal RNA. Lineage: Eukaryota; Viridiplantae; Streptophyta; Magnoliopsida; Lamiales; Oleaceae. The record is from Rfam by way of RNAcentral.
AUGUUUAGAUUAUGACACUUUCUGAAGUAAUCUUUGAAUCUUUCCCAUACUUCUGAAUAGCUCUCGAGGUCUCUUUGCUUGAAAAUAUGGACUUCAUUUUUGAUCU